CCUACGGGAGGCAGCAGUGAGGAAUAUUGGUCAAUGGGCGGGAGCCUGAACCAGCCAAGCCGCGUGAAGGAAGAAGGCGCCAGGCGUCGUAAACUUCUUUUGUCGGGGAACAAAGGGCGCCACGCGUGGCGUUGUGAGUGUACCCGAAGAAAAAGCAUCGGCUAACUCCGUGCCAGCAGCCGCGGUAAUACGGAGGAUGCGAGCGUUAUCAGGAUUUACUGGGUGUAAAGGGAGUGUAGGCGGGAAAGCAAGUCAGAUGUGAAAACCAUGGGCUCAACCUGUGGCCUGCAUUUGAAACUGUUUUUCUUGAGUACUGGAGAGGCAGACGGAAUUCCUAGUGUAGCGGUGAAAUGCGUAGAUAUUAGGAGGAACACCAGUGGCGAAGGCGGUCUGCUGGACAGCAACUGACGCUGAGGCGCGAAAGCGUGGGGAGCAAACAGGAUUAGAUACCCGAGUAGUC
Molecule: ribosomal RNA, 460 nt
Filed under: uncultured bacterium
Lineage: Bacteria
Description: partial 16S ribosomal RNA
Rfam family: Bacterial small subunit ribosomal RNA
Source: RNAcentral